UCAGCAAAGUAGAGAUACCCAAUUGUGAGUCUCUUCCUCUAGAUUUCUCUGAUUUGAUGGCAUAACAACUAAAUCAGCCCUUCUCUGCGAUUGGUAUUAUUUGGACGUAGUCUUGGAGUUUUCUUCUCAAGGAUGCGGUGGGUACGCUGGUUGGGUUCUGGUGAGGAAGUGAAUAAAGGUGGUGCUAUAUGUCUGCCCAGAAUUGAUGCUGUUAGAAGCAGAAAUCGUUUGAGGUUUAUGCGGGGCAGGUUCAUCCGAGGCGGAGUAGGGCGGGGCAAAGUCUUGGCGGAUUUAUGUAGAUCUGCCCCGCACCACCCCAUUUGCCAUCCCUGCUGCUAAAUUUUUGAAAUAUGUUUAUACAAUAUAUAUGGAAGAUCCAUUAUGAUUCACCAGUUCAAUAAUAUAUCGUCUAUCGUGAGAGAUCUGCCUUGUAAUAAAUUAGUAAAUUAUUUAACAUUGGGAGUUUAU
This is a long non-coding RNA of Solanum stenotomum, 468 nucleotides long. RefSeq lists it as uncharacterized. The record is from RefSeq and is a predicted model, not a curated record. The transcript is spliced from 3 exons. Lineage: Eukaryota; Viridiplantae; Streptophyta; Magnoliopsida; Solanales; Solanaceae.